RNAcentral lists this ribosomal RNA (496 nucleotides) under uncultured bacterium. RNAcentral's name for it is "partial 16S ribosomal RNA". It matches the Rfam family "Bacterial small subunit ribosomal RNA", at positions 28 to 506 of the family's 1533-position model. The record is from RNAcentral.
GAUGAGCGCUGGCGGCGUGCCUAAUACAUGCCAGUCGAGCGAACGGACGAGAAGCUUGCUUCUCUGAUGUUAGCGGCGGACGGGUGAGUAACACGUGGAUAACCUACCUAUAAGACUGGGAUAACUUCGGGAAACCGUAGCUAAUACCGGAUAAUAUUUUGAACCGCAUGGUUCAAAAGUGAAAGACGGUCUUGCUGUCACUUAUAGAUGGACCCGCGCUGCAUUAGCUAGUUGGUAAGGUAACGGCUUACCAAGGCAACGAUGCAUAGCCGACCUGAGAGGGUGAUCGGCCACACUGGAACUGAGACACGGUCCAGACUCCUACGGGAGGCAGCAGUAGGGAAUCUUCCGCAAUGGGCGAAAGCCUGACGGAGCAACGCCGCGUGAGUGAUGAAGGUCUUCGGAUCGUAAAACUCUGUUAUUAGGGAAGAACAUAUGUGUAAGUAACUGUGCACAUCUUGACGGUACCUAAUCAGAAAGCCACGGCUAACUACGU